Molecule: ribosomal RNA, 497 nt
Filed under: uncultured bacterium
Lineage: Bacteria
Description: partial 16S ribosomal RNA
Rfam family: Bacterial small subunit ribosomal RNA
Source: RNAcentral
GACGAACGCUGGCGGCGUGCCUAAUACAUGCAAGUUGAGCGAUGAAGAUUGGUGUUUGCACCAAUUUGAAGAGCAGCGAACGGGUGAGUAACGCGUGGGGAAUCUGCCUUUGAGCGGGGGACAACAUUUGGAAACGAAUGCUAAUACCGCAUAACAACUUUAAACAUAAGUUUUAAGUUUGAAAGAUGCAAUUGCAUCACUCAAAGAUGAUCCCGCGUUGUAUUAGCUAGUUGGUGAGGUAAAGGCUCACCAAGGCGAUGAUACAUAGCCGACCUGAGAGGGUGAUCGGCCACAGUGGGACUGAGACACGGCCCAAACUCCUACGGGAGGCAGCAGUAGGGAAUCGUCGGCAAUGGACGAAAGUCUGACCGAGCAACGCCGCGUGAGUGAAGAAGGUUUUCGGAUCGUAAAACUCUGUUGGUAGAGAAGAACGUUGGUGAGAGUGGAAAGCUCAUCAAGUGACGGUAACUACCCAGAAAGGGACGGCUAACUACGUG